GGGAGGGAUGGUGUAAUGGUAAAACACUUGGUGUGACUACUAGCGAUAGCGGGUUCGAAUCCCGCUCCUCCCA
Molecule: transfer RNA, 73 nt
Filed under: Cerataphis brasiliensis yeast-like symbiont
Lineage: Eukaryota; Fungi; Ascomycota
Description: tRNA-Und (NNN) (tRNA-Und-NNN-10-1)
Rfam family: tRNA
About the family: Transfer RNA (tRNA) molecules are approximately 80 nucleotides in length. Their secondary structure includes four short double-helical elements and three loops (D, anti-codon, and T loops). Further hydrogen bonds mediate the characteristic L-shaped molecular structure. tRNAs have two regions of fundamental functional importance: the anti-codon, which is responsible for specific mRNA codon recognition, and the 3' end, to which the tRNAs corresponding amino acid is attached (by aminoacyl-tRNA synthetases). tRNAs cope with the degeneracy of the genetic code in two manners: having more than one tRNA (with a specific anti-codon) for a particular amino acid; and 'wobble' base-pairing, i.e. permitting non-standard base-pairing at the 3rd anti-codon position.
Source: RNAcentral